Folsomia candida is the source of this 781-nucleotide long non-coding RNA. RefSeq lists it as uncharacterized. Lineage: Eukaryota; Metazoa; Arthropoda; Collembola; Entomobryomorpha; Isotomidae. The transcript has 5 exons. The record is from RefSeq and is a predicted model, not a curated record.
UUUUUGAGUCAGUGUGAGUCGGUUUGUUCUAGAACCAGUAAAUAUUUCAAAGUAUUGAGGUACAUUUAAGAAUUUAUUGCCCCCCCCCCUUGUGAAAUUUUUACCGAAUUAGAGGGAGGGGAGGGGGGGUAUUUAGAAAAAUGUAUUUCCUACAAACGUGUAUAAGUUUAAUUGAACGAGAAAAAAUCUCACGGCGUUUGGCAAAUCCUUCUUCCUCGUCAACUUUAACAUCGUUUUGCUGUGUAUCCUCUUCAUCCGGUCCAGAAUUUGCAAGAUUUGGAAUCAUUUUUGCGAGUUCACGGAUGUGUAAAUAUAUUUGUCAGGAAUGAAAAGUGGUGGAGGAGACCAGAUCAAGGACAAAGUUAAAUGUUGGAUCCGAAUUAAAAAUAGAAAAGAAGACAAGGUUGCUAAAUAGGAAGGUCAGCUAACCACCUUCUCUCCACGGGCAGACUGAAAAUGCAAACCAAAUUCCGAGACUUACAACGCAAUUUUAAAGGAAUUGAUGUAACUCUUUUAAAUAGAUUGGAAAGAGAGGAAACUAAGGUGACAUCAACCAAAGGGGAAUUCCUUCUUCGCUGUAGGAAAAGAAUUUCUUCUUCGCUUUGCAACAAGAAUGACAUCUUCUCCGCAGGACAAGAAUUACAUCUUCAGUUAAGAAUACAGUAUAUUUAGAUGUGGCUAAAUUUAUUUAGAGAUUAUCCCUUAUAAAUAUGUACCUAAAAUAGGUAAAUGUUUGUGCUCCAAAAUUUCACUCCUGGAAAUAUUGACGUCAAAGCAAAUA